Long non-coding RNA from Balaenoptera acutorostrata (minke whale), 9834 nucleotides. RefSeq lists it as uncharacterized. NCBI's taxonomy places the organism in Eukaryota, Metazoa, Chordata, Mammalia, Artiodactyla, Balaenopteridae. The transcript has 5 exons. The record is from RefSeq and is a predicted model, not a curated record.
UCUUCCGCGCCGGCCGGGCUGAGUGCGCAAGGGUCGGCCUCGGGUCUUCCCGGCGCGGCGGAGGGGAAUGUGGCAGCGCUGUGGUCCGCCAACUAGGCGUGACGGCGUGUGCGGGGCGAGAAUGCUUUUUUGGGACGAGGGCCCGUGGUGCCAGUGAGGUCCCCACAGGAGUGCGGUCCGGGACCCCGAAACGCUUGCGAACCGAUGGUCGGGCUGAGACCCGUGACCCCCGCGAGGGCUGGAGCAGCCGACCGUGAACCGGAAGGGGCGGGGCUGGGGCGGCCGUGGGCACCAGCUCCGGAGCGACAGUGACUUGCCGCUGCUUCCCCCGGGACUCUCAGGACCAUCGCCACUUGAAGCCAAGGGGAAGAGGGAGGAUGUCCUCUGUGGGGGCCAGGCUUUGCAUAGAGUGACUCGGGAGUGGUGGCGGUCUGGGAAAGGUCACCACCCUUUGAUCCAGUCCUGGGGCAGGCACUUAACCUGGUCAGUGCCCUCCCCCGCCAGUUUGCAGGUUAGAAAACUGAGUCUCUAUUUGGUUAAACUAUCAAGGCCAAAAUUAUCCUGCCAGUGGUGAAAGAAGUUGGGAUUUGGAUGCAAGUCUGGUUUCAAAGACUGAUCUUUUCCUCUUCACAAUGGAACUCGAGAGAGAAAAGAUUUGGGACCAGGAGCGUAGUCUGCCCUUUUCCUCUUAAGCAAUACUCCCAAGGUCUUAUCAGCUCAAACUUUCAUUCCUGCUUUCAUUUCUUCAACAGCUGUAGAGCACCUAUGACGUGAGCGCUGGGGCAGCAGGGGUCAUGGAGCUUCCAUUCCAGCAAGGCGGGAGAGCAUUCCCAGUGCUGAGACAGAGUAGAAAGAACAUGCGGUAUAGAGCAUGGCUGGGUAAUGAAGCCCACUUCAGUGGGUAGACAGGAGGGAGGGGACAGUUGAGUUGUCACUUGAUGAUAGGGAUGCAGCCCUGAGAGGACAGGACAGAGAGUUUCAGGCAGAGGAAGACCUUGGAGUCACGUGAGUCAGCUUCACCCAUCUGGGCCAGUCCUUCCGGGGAGGGGACGCUGUGGAGGUAGUUGGUGCUCCAGGCUGAGGUCUGGCUCCAUACUGUGAACCCAUCUCAGCUCCAGACAGGGAGCACCUGGCCUGGCCUUUGGGGACUUUGGAGCUCCUCCCCUCACCUGUCUUCAGUGAAAUGGAAAUCAGGUGCAGGCAGCCCAACUUCUCAUCUGACUUCUCUUUAAAUAAGCGGAGAGCCUUUUCGACACAGUCGAUGCGCACACGUCAUGGUGACAGGUACAUCUUGUGGGUUCAUAACUGCCUUACUGCGGAAACCAGCAGGAGAUGGACCAGGUUGUUUGCUGUUUCUGGCUACUUGAGCUUGUGUUAUUUUGAACCAGGUCUAAAUCCUUCUUUGCCUGCUCUGUGAUGAUGGAGGUGGGCUGUGGAAAUAUUUCACCUGCAACAUUUGGUAUGAUGUAAUGCCAGUAGAGGAGGCUGGAAGGACAGUGAAAAAGGAAGGAAUUUCCUCUUCCUGUUUCCCGAGUCCUGCAGGGUGCAGGGUCUCCUGCACUGGGCUCCUACAGGGUGCAGCUUUCUCCGUUGCCUGGCUCCUGCAGAGGGCAGCUUCCCCAGCUCCCAGUUCUGGUAGCUCAGGGCAACUAGCAGAGCCCAGCUGCUAGAAGCUUCCCUCAGAACUUUCUCAAAGUGAUGUGCUACUGGCAAGGCACCUGACUGUGAACGACUUCUUUGAGCAUCCCUCAGUUGCCUUAGCAGCAACUUCCAAGGUCAUUUAAACAGAUUUUUAAAAAUUCCCUUUAACAAUAAAGAGGAAACCAAGGAUGCAGAUUAUGGCAAGAACAUAGUCAAGAUGAGGAAAUUGAGGCCCAGAGAGGUGAAGCGACAGGACGCCAGGAGCAUGCAGCUAGUCGUGGCCGGCCUGGCACUGGAAUCCAGGGGUUCCGCCGGGUGCCCCGCAGCUGCCCAGCCCGGGAACUAGACAACUCCUCUCCCUGCCCUCCCCACUCCACCCCGGAAGGCACCCUGGGAACGGAAAGCUGGCUGCCCUCCAAGUCCCAGGAGCCCCGGAGUCCUGGAGCCCUGCCCUCGCUCCACCCUCCCCCAUCCCCAGAACAAAGUACACUCGGCCGCGGGAACAUUCCAGCCCCCAGAAGUCCAGGCGGGGCGGCGGCCGGGCUCCCGGAGCUGCGCCGGGUGUCUGCGGCCCCGGCCCAGCCCCGCGGUGCCCCUGCCCGGCGCCCUCCCGGCUUCUGCGCCAGCCGAGUGUGCAGACGCAAUUGCACCGGAGGAAUUCUGCCUUCUCUUCCCUCACCGCCGGGACACAAAACUGAAAAGGCGUGGGACGCGGUGGGCGGAGCUGAUGAGGAGCAGGGCGCUGGUCCCCGCGGGCGCCGAGCGGGAGCCGAGUUCUCGGCGGCGCCAGCGCUGGGCAGAGCUGGCUCCUGGGCGCACUGGGCCCCCUUGCCUCACUUUACUUCUUUAUAAGAAAUUAACGCAUGCUUUUGUUAAAAAAAAAAAAGAAAAAGAAAAGGACGAGUAGAACUAGGAGAAAGCUCUCCAUUCAUCCUACCACUCUGAGACAACUGCGAUUAAUUUUGGUUGUGUCCUUGCAGACAGUUCUAUGCACAAAAACACAAGUCGUAUAUUGACAUGAAAGGGAUCGUGCUCUUAUAGUUUGUUUUUAAAGUAACAGACUUUAGGUUUGAGAGCAGUUUUAGGUUUACAACAAAUUGAGGACAGAGUGCAGGGUCCCUCUAUCCCCUUGUUCCCACCCUCACAGUUUUCCACUAUUAGUAACAUCUUGCGUUGGGGUGGUACUUUUGUUACAAUUGAUGGACCAACAUUGAUACACUAUUAUUAACUAAAGCCCCGUAGCUUAAUUAAGGUUCACUCUUUGUGCUGUAAAGUUCAAAGUUUUGAUAAAUGCAUAACGCGUCAUGUGUCCACCACUACAGUAGCAUACAGAAUAGUUUUACUACCCUAAAAAUCCCCUGUGCUCUACCAAUUCAUCCCUCCCCCUGAGACCCCUUGCGGCCACUGAUCUUUUUACGGUUUCUCUAGUUUUGAAUUUUCCAGAACGCCUUAUGGUUGGAGUCACACAGUAAGUAGCCUUUCCAGGCUGGCUUCUUUCACUCAACAAUAUUCUUUUACGCUUCCUCCAUGUCUUUUCGUAGAUUAAUAGCUCAUUUCUUUUUAUCGCUGAAUAAUACUCCAUUGUAUGACCGUACCACUGUUUGUUUAUCCAUUCACCUCUGGAAGGACAUCUUGGUUGCCUCCAGUUUUUGGCAGUUAUAAAUAGGCUCCUGUAAAUAUUCAUGUGCAGGUUUAUUGUACUGUUUUCUAGCUUGCUUUUCUAAGUUAUGUUAUGAAUGGCUUUUGAUAUUAUAAAUAUAGAUGUCUGUCAUCAUUUUAAUGGCUACAUACAAUUCUAGCACAGUUUAUUUAACCAGCUCCUUUGUUAAACAUCUAGAUUGUUGUCUCUAGUCUCAUAAAUCUGUUCUAACUAGUUGGUCUACACCAUAUCUUGUGGUUAAGGCUUGGCUGACUGAGUCCUGUGUUCAAAUCCUAGAUACCCCACUUACUGAGUGAACCUGGGCCAAGUUUUUAAUUCCCUAGGACUUGGUGAAAUCUGUGAAAUGGAAAUAGUAGUUGUACUUAUGGUGAGGAUUAAAUGAGCUGAUACAUGCAAAGUAUUUAGAAUAGUUUAGAACCCGGUACAUAUAAACUCAUAAUAAAAUUCAGCUCUUAUAAUUUAUUAUCUGUUGCGCACCUACCAUGUGUCCUGAGCUAGCCAUUGUGGAAGUUUUCAAAGACUAAAUCAUAUGUGUGAUCUUACCUUCAAGGAACUUUGAAUCAGCUCCUGAUGGGGGAUAAUGCAAAGCAGAGCAAUACUGAUUCCUUAUGUUGUUUUCUCUGUGCCAGGUACUGUUCUGGGGCUGGGAGAAAGCAGGGCUGGCAUUUGAACAGAGGUCUGGUCUAACUACCACACUACUCUGCCUCUCUGUACCUGUAGUUCCAAUACAAAAUACGAAGCAAGAUGUGUCCUAAGAAAGUGGAGAUGAAGAAGUGUGAGAAUUCAAGGGACCCAGUGAUGACUUCCACCUGGGCAUACCAGGGAAGGCUUUAUGUUAAAAUCCAUUCGCUUAACACCAGAAGAGCUUAUCUGUACCAGGCACAGCCCCAAGCACAGGAUGAAUAAAGAGGCAAAUAAGGGACUUCCCUUGUGGUCCAGCGGUUAAGACUCCAUGCUCCCAGUGCAGGGGGCCCGGGUUUGAUCCCUGGUCAGGGAACUAGAUCCCUCAUGCUACAACUAAAGAUCCCUCAUGCUGCAGCUAAGACCCGGCACAGCCAAAUAAAAAAUAAAAAACAGGCAAAUAAAACCAGUGGGGAGUUCUGGUGGGAGAGAUCAAAUGACAGGUUGUGAUACAAACCACAAAGGAAAUACAGGCUGCCAUGUUGGAUACAGGAGGGCGUAGUGGAGGCUACGCCUUAAGGUGGUCGGGGAAGGCACCUGGAAGGAGGUGACUUUGAAACACUGAAAACUGUGGGGUGAGGAACCAGCCACAUGAGGAGUUGUGUGGGAUAUUAUAGCAGCAAGAACGAGCAAAGGUGUGGAGGUAGAAGGGGGUUUUGGGUGUGGUCUGAUUCUGUCAGAAGCCAGCGUGGGAGGAGCUCAGGGAGCAAGGGGAAAAUGACUAAAGAUGAAGUUGCAGAGUAGAAAUGGACCGGUUUCUAAGAGCUUUCCAACUUAAAAGAACUCCUGAGAGUGGCUGGGCAGCCUGGGACAAGAGCACCUACUCUGUGUGUACCUCCAUAAUGGGCUCCAUAAUGGGCUGUUCAGGCGGUACUGUGUUCGACCUUUCCAACAACUUACUCUACAGGUGAGGAGACUUAGGCUUGAGUUUUAUUCCAGGUGCAACGGGAAGCCAUUGAAGGGUUUUAAGCAAGGAAGUAGCAUAGCUGAGUUGAUAUGGCAACAAGAUCCAGCUGGCUGCUCUGCGGGACGUGACGUGCAGGUUUGCAAGGAACAGAGGGACGAGUGAAGCGACUCUGCAGUCAGCCAGGUGAGAGAGAGAGAGAGAGAGAGCGAGAGAGAGCGAGAGAGAGAGAGAAUGGAGAUUUGGCUAGUGUGGACGAUGGAGAGCGAGCUGGAUCAAUUUGAGCCAUUUGAGAUUGAGAAGAGAUGUUGAUGAAUUGGACUGGUAAGGAGAGGAAGGAAGCUGGUAUGUGCUUAUUUAAUUUAUUUAUUUAGAUUUAUUUAUUUAUGGCUGUGUUGGGUCUUCGUUGCUGUGUGUGGGCUUUCUCUAGUUGUGGCGAGCUGGGGCUACUCUUCGUUGCAGUGCGCGGGCUUCUCAUUGCGGUGGCUUCUCUUGUUGCGGAGCACAGGCUCUAGGCACGCGGGCUUCAGUAGUUGUGGCAUACUGGCUUAGUUGCUCCGUGGCAUGUGGGAUCUUCCCGGACCAGGGCUCGAACCCGUAUCCCCUGCAUUGGCAGGCGGAUUCUUAACCACUGUGCCACCAGGGAAGUCCUAUGCUCAUUUGAAAUGAUUCAAAUAAUUCAAGAAAGUAUAAAGAAGAAACAAUUUAAAAUUCUCUGAAAUCCACCUUCCCAGAGAGAACUACUGUUAACUUUUAUUGGAACACCCUUCUGGACAUCUUUCUAUAUCCAAAUAGGAUAAAUAAAUGGGCUCUUUUAGUUGUAAAAACAAGGAUCCACUCAAGCUAACUUAUGUAACAAGUAUUUUGCUGUGAGGACUCAGGGGUAUCUCCCAGAAUUGCAGCCAGUCAGGCUUCACGAGACCCGGAAAGAGUGCAGAAAGCCAGGAACUCAGGUUAUUCUCUUUCCUCUGCUUCUCUCUGCCUGCCUGCUCUGGUCUUCGCAGCGUUUUGGUUGACUAAAAAGCACACACCUGCCAUAAGUUCCUUCCCUGACGUUGUAUCUCUGCCCCCAAGUCAAGUAGCUAAUGAGGAUGAGCUGACAUCAUUCUGCCAGAGAUCCCAUUUUCUGGAAGAGGGAAUGGGAUCCAGUGCACUAGUGAUGAGAUGGUUCAUCCUUUAUAACAUGGAGAGGGGACAUAGGUACAGAGGCAGGUAGGCUGUUUGGUGGCAGGAAGAUGAGAUAUUUCCCUAGAUUGCUUCUUUUAUCUCAAGUAAAUGAGUGAGGUUGUCAGCUGAGAAGCUGAGAGUAGAGUGGGGACAGGUAUGGGAGGUUUAUUAAAAGGUGAGAAGAAAUGAAGUAGUUAUCUCUCAAAGCGGAGAUGUGAAUUUAUGAGGAUUAGUGCGGAUGACCCACUUGAGGUUUGUGGUCAUGAAUUUAAAGAGAGAUUAGUGGGUGCAACUGUGUUUCCCUCCAGCCACAUCUGGGUGCUCAGGUGUGAGUGUGAGGUGCAGGGAAUUAGCUUUUACCAUUUUUCAGGACAAUAAGAUGAGGAAGAGAGGGGCAAGGAAUAAAGUGAUGGGCUGUGGAAUCGAAAGGGAUAAUGAAGAAAAUGAGAUGAGCAAAGUGAUGGGCAGUGAAAGUGUUGGGGAGUCUCCCUGGGGUUGAAGAAUUUGAGUCAGGAUACAAGAAUAAGCGAGCUGGAAAGAUUGGAAGGAAUGGCCAAAGAGUGGGAUGCUGGAAGCUAAUUUUAAAUGUAGUGAGUGUUGUUGAUGACAGUCAAGGGCAUGACCAUGGCAGUGGGAGGAGGAGGUUGCAUGGAGGACAAGAUAGUUGGAGAUGAAGGAAUCAGGAAGCUGGAUUAUGAGACUCUCACCUGCCCCCUAGGGAUUCUCACCUGGUGGUAUUCACACCCCUUGUGUAGUCCCUCACACAUUCAAUAGAGCUGACCUGUGUAACUAAUGACUGUGUAUGACUUCCAAGGUUAGGUUGUGAAAGACUUGUGGCUUCUGCUCCCCUCUCUCUUGGGAGAAGCCAGCCACCCAUGGUACCCAUGUGGUGUGGACCAAUCAAUGCUAACUUGCCAGGCAUGUUUGUGGGCCACCUUGGGAGCCAGGUUUCCUGCCCCAGUUAAGCCUUCCAAUGACUGUGGCAGCUCCUGCAGACAGACUGCACAUCCUCAGAGACUCUGAGCCAGAAUCACUGGUCUAAGGUGCUUCUGAAUUCUUGACCCAGAGAAACUGUCUGAGAUAAUAAAUGCUCAUUGUUUGAAGUUUUGUGGUAAUUUUGUUACACAACAAUAGAUAAGUAAUGUGGAACCCGAAAAGCUAAGAUGUUGUAUGGGUCUUUGAUGGAUGUUGGUUGAAGAAUGGUUAGGUUUUAAUGAUGGAGAGAGAGGCUGAGAGCCAGGCCCUAAAUCUUCAAGGAGUGAGGCAGAGUAGUCAGGAGGCUGGGAAAGACUUCAAUAGGAAUAGUGGUGGUAUAGUCUAAGGACACAAACUUCAAGGGAAAAGGGGUUUGUAGAAAAAAGGAAGGAUAAUUAGUCUAGAAAAGGUAAAGAAGAGCAGGGAAGACCCCCACCCUACCUCUGGGCCUGUGUAGGGGAAAAAUCAGCUGCUACAUGAGAGGGUUGCAAGAAAAGCAAUGUCCCCAGGCAGAAGCAGAUUUUAGUGCAAGCAGGAAGGGGAAAUGAAUGUUUGGAGAAGAAGUCCAGGAUUUAGGGCGUUUUGCUAAGGGUGAACCAUGAGUUCCAGGGUCAGAGUGGAAGAAUGGGGGAAGUAGGAAGGGUGGGAAAUUGGAUUAGACUAAGGGAUGUGCAUCAGAGUCUGAGCAAUGAUGGAUGACCAUCAAUAGAUUUUGAAUUUUAUUGCUUUUUCUAUUGAAAAUCUAUCAUAGGGUUAUAUGAUUCUUCUUUAUCCUGUUCAUAUGGUAAGUUUUAAUCAUUAAUUUUCAAAUUUAUACCAACCUUGCAUUCUUGGAAUAACACAAACUUUCAGGAUAUAUUAUCUUUCAUAUAUAUUGUUGAAUUCAUUUUGCUGUUAUUUUGUUUAGGGUUUUUUUGCACCUGUGUUCAUUAGUGAGAUUGACUUAUACCUUUCCUUUCAUUUAUUAUCCUUGUUAGAUUUUAGUAACAAGGUUAUGCUGGCCUCAGAAUUCGAGUUUGGGUAUGUUUCCUCUUUUCUAUUCUCAGAAGUGUAUGUGUAAUUGUGGUAUUUUUCUUUCUUAAAUAUUUAUUAGAAUUUGCCAGUGAAGCCAUCUGGGACUGGAGUUUUCUUUGUUGGAAGAUUUAAAUUGUAAAUUAAAUUUCUUUAAUAUAUAUAAUAUUAUUCAGAUUUUCUAUUCCUUCUUUUGUUGGUUCUUAUAAGUUGUAGUUUUCUAAGAACUUUCUCAACUCCCUUGAAAUUUUAAUUUAUUUGAAGACAUCAAGUUGUAACUUUAUAAUGUCUAUAGGAUCUGUAACAAUGCCCUUUUUCAUUGCUAAUAUUGGUAAUUCAUGCCUUCUUUUUUUUCUUUAUGAAUUUUCCUAGCGGCUUUUACAUUUUACUAAUGUUUUCACAGAAUGGUCUUUUGACUUUGAUCAAUCUUUUAUUGUAAGUUUGUUUUUGUUGCAUUAAUUUCUGCUCUUUAUGGAUUCCUUUAUACUUUAAAAAAUAUAAUUCGUUGAAACUUAGAGUUACCAUAUGACCCAGCACUCCACUUCUAAAUGUACCCAAGAGAAAUGGAAACAUAUGUUCACACAAAAAUUUGUACACGAAUGUUCAUAGCAGCAUUAGUCAUAAUUGCCCCCAAAUGGAAACAACCCAAAUGCCACCAACUGAUAAAUGGCAAAACAAAUGUGGUAUAUCCAUACUGUGUUAGUCUGCUAGGGCUGCCAGACUGGAUGGCUUAAACAACAGAAAUUUAUUGUCCCACAGUUCUGGAAGCUGGAAGUCUAAGAUCAAGGUUUGGCAGUUUUGAUUUCUCCUGAUGCCUCUCUCUUUGUCUUUUAUUUUUAAAUUGUGGCACACAGGCUUAGUUGCUCCGUGGCAUGUGGGAUUUUCCCAGACGUGGGCUCGUACCCAUGUCCCCUGCAUUGGCAGGCGGAUUCUCAACCACUGCGCCACCUGGGAAGCCCUCUCUUUGUUUUGUAGAUGGAUGCUUUCUCCCUGUGUCCUCACAGGGCCUUUUCUCAGUUCAUGUGCAUCCUUGGAGUUUCUUUCUCUUAUAAGGACACCAGUCCUAUUGGAUUAAGGCGCCACCUUUAUGACUUCAUUUAACCUUAAUUACCUCCUUAAAAUCCCUGUGUCCAAAUAAGUUACUUUGAAAGUUAGGGUUUCAAAAUAUGAAUUUGGGAGGAACACAAUUUAGUCCAUAACAAUAUUAUUACAUGUUUGUUAAUUUUUAUUGCUGUAUAGAAAUUCUUUGUGUGAAUAUACUAUGUUUUAUUUAUCUAUACUACUGUUAAUGGGCUUUUUAGUCUCUAAUUUGAGGUUAUUAUGAAUAGAGUUUCUAUGAACAUUCUGUCUUUUGGAUGAACAUUAAAAUCUCUGUUGAAUAUAUACCUAAGAAUUGCUGGGUUCAUUAAGUAUUCUUAUUUUCAGCUUUACUAGAUAUUGCCAACACUUUUCCCAUACAUUUAUUUACGCUCUUACCGGUGCUUACUGAGAGUUGUGUUUGUUCUACAUCUUUGUCAACACUUGAUAUUACCUGGGGUUUUUUUUCCCAUUUUUUUUUAGUCAAUUCUGAAGGUAGUGUGGAAUAUCUGAUGAUUUUAAUCUAUAUUUCUGUCAUGACUAAUGAAGUUGAAUACCUUUUCUGUGUUUAUUGGCUGUUGGAAUGUAAUUUAUUGUGAAGUGCUAUUUUCUUAUUGAUUUGUAGGGAUUUUAAAUAUAUUCUGGCCAUAUGAAUACGUCCUCUGUUAUUGAAAAUAUCUUCUUGCAUACUGUAGUUUGCCAUUUUAUUCUCUUUCAA